This 468-nucleotide ribosomal RNA is filed under the name uncultured bacterium. RNAcentral's name for it is "partial 16S ribosomal RNA". It matches the Rfam family "Bacterial small subunit ribosomal RNA", at positions 28 to 507 of the family's 1533-position model. The record is from RNAcentral.
GACGAACGCUGGCGGCGUGCUUAACACAUGCAAGUCGAACGGAAAGGCCCUGCUUUUGUGGGGUGCUCGAGUGGCGAACGGGUGAGUAACACGUGAGUAACCUGCCCUUGACUUUGGGAUAACUUCAGGAAACUGGGGCUAAUACCGGAUAGGAGCUCCUGCUGAAUGGUGGGGGUUGGAAAGUUUCGGCGGUUGGGGAUGGACUCGCGGCUUAUCAGCUUGUUGGUGGGGUAGUGGCUUACCAAGGCUUUGACGGGUAGCCGGCCUGAGAGGGUGACCGGCCACAUUGGGACUGAGAUACGGCCCAGACUCCUACGGGAGGCAGCAGUGGGGAAUAUUGCACAAUGGGCGGAAGCCUGAUGCAGCAACGCCGCGUGCGGGAUGACGGCCUUCGGGUUGUAAACCGCUUUCGCCGGUGACGAAGCGUGAGUGACGGUAAUGGGUAAAGAAGCACCGGCUAACUACGUG